ACUCCAGGCCAAUUAAGACACCUUACACCAAUUAACCAGUUCAGGCCGUUAGGCUACUGGAGACAGCUGGAACCAAUCAAGGUUCCACUUAUACUGUUUAAAAGCUCUCCUUCCAGUUCCCUCAAGGAAGCCCAGGUGAAUAGAGCUGGAGGAAAGGAAGUGUUGCUGAAGCCUGAGGCUGAGAUGGGUUGUACAACAGAAGUGAGAGCUGUCUCAUAAUGGAAGUUGACUGUGGGAGCACUUGUCUGUGUGUGCAUGUAGAGGAAUUGUGGGAAGGCAUGGACAGACUAUCAAAUAUUCAAGUGACUUAACCUGCAUCCUCACGGCAAGUGGGUGGGAUACCAGCCUGAGUGAAGGCGUCACUUGGCUUUUAGCGUGUAACGCCAGAAGAGCUGGCUAGCCUGGAUUGAAGUCUCAAUGAAACUUGGAGGUUUGCCUGAAUGCAGCAACAUUGCCACUCCAAUACAAAAAGCCGUCAUGUACACAAGCCCUCGGUGAUGCAGAAUGUAGAUGUCUGAAUGAGCAGACUGGUGACAAUAUCUCCGUACCCAUAGCACCAUUGUAAUCUGCUGAUUUGCUCUGACAAUCCAGCUACUUCUAAAUUGUAGGAUGAGACUAUGUUGAUGAGAGAAUAUUUCCUUUAUUAAACCACAAACUUCAGAUGGACUCUGUUAAAACUGAAGAGAACCCUUUGGGAUUGCUGUUGAACUGGAAACAUUUUAGAAUGUGAAUUUUUUCUUGACACCUUAUGUAUAAUUUGAAGCUACCAAAUCUGCUAUACCAAGAAUCCAGAAACAGGACAAUUGGAAGAUGCACAAGUGUCAGUCUGACAACUAAACGGAGAAUAACUUUGGGAAGGUCUUAACAAGUAGACAAUAAUGUUUGCCUUGUCUUGGGUUUUAGAGUCUGAAUUAAAACUGUUUGGCUCACUAAUAAUUUUGUGAAAGUAAUCUA
Chelonia mydas (Green sea turtle) is the source of this 954-nucleotide long non-coding RNA. RefSeq lists it as uncharacterized. NCBI's taxonomy places the organism in Eukaryota, Metazoa, Chordata, Testudines, Cheloniidae. The record is from RefSeq and is a predicted model, not a curated record. The transcript is spliced from 5 exons.